UUGAAGUGUAUAACAUGCAUUAGAAUCUAAUACUCAACUGAAAGAAGAAGAAAUCGUAAGAUCAAAUUUGAGCAACUUGACAUAUCUUUCAAAGGUAUGUCUAUGUUUCUUUAGGCUUUCUAGGUAUAUACCUCUAAACUUUUCAAAAUCUUUUUAGUUACCAACAUAUUGAUCAAUUCAGUUAAGCUGCUAUAAUGUUUAUUUAUAUAA
Molecule: long non-coding RNA, 210 nt
Filed under: Elaeis guineensis (African oil palm)
Lineage: Eukaryota; Viridiplantae; Streptophyta; Magnoliopsida; Arecales; Arecaceae
Description: long non-coding RNA (EGUI_LNC042051)
Source: RNAcentral